UGGGGAAUAUUGGACAAUGGGCGAAAGCCUGAUCCAGCCAUGCCGCGUGUGUGAAGAAGGUCUUCGGAUUGUAAAGCACUUUAAGUUGGGAGGAAGGGCAGUAAGCGAAUACCUUGCUGUUUUGACGUUACCGACAGAAUAAGCACCGGCUAACUCUGUGCCAGCAGCCGCGGUAAUACAGAGGGUGCAAGCGCUAAUCGGAAUUACUGGGCGUAAAGCGCGCGUAGGUGGUUCGUUAAGUUGAAUGUGAAAGCCCCGGGCUAAACCUGGGAACUGCAUCCAAUAAUGGGGGGCUAGAGCAUGGUAGAGGGUAGUGGAAUUUCCUGUGUAGCGGUGAAAGGCGUAGAUAUAGGAAGGAACACCAGUGGCGAAGGCGACCACCUGGGCUCAUACUGACACUGAGGUGCGAAAGCGUGGGGAGCAAACAGG
This 429-nucleotide ribosomal RNA is filed under the name Pseudomonadota bacterium. RNAcentral's name for it is "Proteobacteria bacterium partial 16S ribosomal RNA". It matches the Rfam family "Bacterial small subunit ribosomal RNA", at positions 355 to 776 of the family's 1533-position model. The record is from RNAcentral. Lineage: Bacteria; Pseudomonadati; Pseudomonadota.